Long non-coding RNA from Ruditapes philippinarum (Manila clam), 490 nucleotides. RefSeq lists it as uncharacterized. Lineage: Eukaryota; Metazoa; Mollusca; Bivalvia; Venerida; Veneridae. The record is from RefSeq and is a predicted model, not a curated record. The transcript has 3 exons.
UAGUUUAUGACGCAAAGAUUUAAUUUCAUAAGAAAAGACGCGGAAUAACGUAUAGAAAUGUUUUUUUACAAAGGAUUUUACUCGGUUGAUUGUUUUCACGCUUUCCUGUUUAGUUGUGGAAGGUUGUGGGCGUUUGAAGUGUUAUCAGUGUAACUCUCAGGAUUCCCCAACUACGUGUGGAGAGAAAAACUUUAAUGCUGAUGCCCACAAGGAUACUACAGUCAGCGGAAGCACCAUAAUUAUUUCUCCACAUAAUGGUGGAACCAGUUGUAUACGUGGCUAUGCUGUCAACGACAAGGGAAUAUACUAUUAUCGUGACAAAUCAAACGAGGCGCUUUGGGAUGGAUGCAAGACUCCACAAAUGUGUGCUUGCAGUGAAGAUCUCUGUAACUCUAAAGGGUCAAGGGGGAUCUAUGUGACCUCAACCCUUCUCUUCUGUUACUUGACAACGGUUGUUGUAAAGAGGAUAACGUUUUGAUAUUUGUUGAUA